Molecule: non-coding RNA, 305 nt
Organism: Macaca mulatta (Rhesus monkey)
Lineage: Eukaryota; Metazoa; Chordata; Mammalia; Primates; Cercopithecidae
Source: RefSeq, a predicted model, not a curated record
CCAGAGAGGGAGGAUUUGGACACUAGUGGGCAGUGGUAACUUCUCUACACGUCGCAGAAGGAAAUUUUCAAAAUGGAAUGAACUCCGUUAAGGGGAUUCUUGAAGAAGCACGAUCCACAUUGUAAAAUGCACAUUCAAAGUCUGGAGGUAAACAUACCGGUGAGCCCUUGGGGCCAGGAAGACCCGGACGGCCAUCUCUUCCAGGAGAACCCGCUCUCCCUGGCAUGCCGGGCUGUCCUGGAAAGCCUGGGUCUCCUUUGUCACCUUUGAGCCGCAGGUCGAAAUAAAUCUCACCAGGCUCCCCC